CAGAAGCGCCUUAUUGCUGCU
RNAcentral lists this non-coding RNA (21 nucleotides) under Arabidopsis thaliana (thale cress). The record is from RNAcentral. Lineage: Eukaryota; Viridiplantae; Streptophyta; Magnoliopsida; Brassicales; Brassicaceae.